UACGGAGGGUGCAACCGUUGCUCGGAAUCAUUGGGCGUAAAGCGCACGUAGGCGGACCGCUAAGUCGGAUGUGAAAGCCCUCGGCUUAACCGAGGAAGUGCAUUCGAAACUGACGGUCUUGAGUCCGAUAGAGGUGGGUGGAAUUCCUAGUGUAGAGGUGAAAUUCGUAGAUAUUAGGAAGAACACCGGUGGCGAAGGCGGCCCACUGGAUCGGUACUGACGCUGAGGUGCGAAAGCGUGGGGAGCAAACAGG
RNAcentral lists this ribosomal RNA (253 nucleotides) under uncultured bacterium. RNAcentral's name for it is "partial 16S ribosomal RNA". It matches the Rfam family "Bacterial small subunit ribosomal RNA", at positions 524 to 776 of the family's 1533-position model. The record is from RNAcentral.